GGCUUUUUGAAUCCGUGUUGAAAUUUCGUCAGACACCAACCCAUUAGGGCUGACCAGAGUUACAAGAUAAGUGAAGUU
This 78-nucleotide microRNA precursor is filed under the name Schistosoma mattheei. RNAcentral's name for it is "mir-3492 microRNA precursor family". It matches the Rfam family "mir-3492 microRNA precursor family". The record is from Rfam by way of RNAcentral. Lineage: Eukaryota; Metazoa; Platyhelminthes; Trematoda; Strigeidida; Schistosomatidae.